This 209-nucleotide ribosomal RNA is filed under the name uncultured bacterium. RNAcentral describes it as "partial 16S ribosomal RNA". It matches the Rfam family "Bacterial small subunit ribosomal RNA", at positions 1284 to 1500 of the family's 1533-position model. The record is from RNAcentral.
AGUCUCAGUUCGGAUUGGAGUCUGCAACCCGACUCCAUGAAGCUGGAUUCGCUAGUAAUCGCGCAUCAGCCACGGCGCGGUGAAUACGUUCCCGGGCCUUGUACACACCGCCCGUCAAGCCAUGGAAGCCGGGAGUGCCUGAAGUGCGUGACCGCAAGGAACGCCCUAGGGUAAAACCGGUGACUGGGGCUAAGUCGUAACAAGGUACC